RNAcentral lists this ribosomal RNA (380 nucleotides) under uncultured eukaryote. RNAcentral's name for it is "SSU rRNA". It matches the Rfam family "Eukaryotic small subunit ribosomal RNA", at positions 587 to 972 of the family's 1831-position model. The record is from RNAcentral.
AGCUCCAAUAGCGUAUAUUAAAGUUGUUGCAGUUAAAACGCUCGUAGUCGGAUUUCGGGGCGGGCCGACCGGUCUGCCGAUGGGUAUGCACUGGCCGGCGCGUCCUUCCACCCGGAGACCGCGCCUACUCUUAACUGAGCGGGCGCGGGAGACGGGUCUUUUACUUUGAAAAAAUCAGAGUGUUUCAAGCAGGCAGUCGCUCUUGCAUGGAUUAGCAUGGGAUAAUGAAAUAGGACUCUGGUGCUAUUUUGUUGGUUUCGAACACCGGAGUAAUGAUUAACAGGGACAGUCAGGGGCACUCGUAUUCCGCCGAGAGAGGUGAAAUUCUCAGACCAGCGGAAGACGAACCACUGCGAAAGCAUUUGCCAGGGAUGUUUUCA